UUUUUCUUCCUUUAACUAAAUAUGCUUUUAUUAAGACUAGCUGUUUGUAACAUUUAAGAAACGCAACUUCUUUUUAUUGGUUAUCUUUCAAAAUAUAAAUUUGAUUAUUCUUGUCCUAUGUGACUAUUGAAGGGAUGGAAAAGCGUUGACCCAACAAACGAAGGACAAGGGAGAAAUUAUUCUUGUCCUGUAUUCUUGCUCACUAAACCAAAUGCACCAUAUAAUAGUAGUGAAUUUGUACUUGGUGAAUUUUGUGUUUUGGGAAUACUUUUAACUUGUCAAUUGAUGUAUGAUAAUGAUGCAGCAUUUUAUAAAGUGUCACUAAUGAUCAGGAUGUUGCUAUCAUUAGCGUGUUACUUUCAUGUGAAGUCUAUUGAUGAUUCUUGUUUCUCGCAGGUACUUGCUUAAAAUUAUUGGAA
This 419-nucleotide unclassified non-coding RNA is filed under the name Hevea brasiliensis (rubber tree). Lineage: Eukaryota; Viridiplantae; Streptophyta; Magnoliopsida; Malpighiales; Euphorbiaceae. The record is from RNAcentral.